GUGGCAGGCCUACAACGAGUAUGUUGAGGGAACAUGACAAGAGCUUGCUCCUUUGUCGAUGGCGGCGGACGGGUGAGUAACACGUGGAUAACCUACCUAUAAGAAUGGGAUAACUUCGGGAAACCGGAGCUAAUACCGGAUAAUAUAUUGAACCGCAUGGUUCAAUAGUGAAAGGCGGCUUUGCUGUCACUUAUAGAUGGAUCCGCGCCGUAUUAGCUAGUUGGUAAGGUAACGGCUUACCAAGGCAACGAUACGUAGCCGACCUGAGAGGGUGAUCGGCCACACUGGAACUGAGACACGGUCCAGACUCCUACGGGAGGCAGCAGUAGGGAAUCUUCCGCAAUGGGCGAAAGCCUGACGGAGCAACGCCGCGUGAGUGAUGAAGGUCUUCGGAUCGUAAAACUCUGUUAUCAGGGAAGAACAAAUGUGUAAGUAACUGUGCACAUCUUGACGGUACCUGAUCAGAAAGCCACGGCUAAC
This 480-nucleotide ribosomal RNA is filed under the name Staphylococcus pasteuri. RNAcentral describes it as "bacterial SSU rRNA". It matches the Rfam family "Bacterial small subunit ribosomal RNA", at positions 39 to 501 of the family's 1533-position model. The record is from RNAcentral. Lineage: Bacteria; Bacillati; Bacillota; Bacilli; Caryophanales; Staphylococcaceae.